ACGAAUUCAUUUGAGUAGAGCUGCGUGAGUUUGGCGCAGACCCUGAGUCAAGGAAACAGCAAGGCACACCAGAAAAAUACUGAGAGAUAGACAACAUAUUUUAUGCUCAGAAAUGGGAGAUCUGUUCCAAUUCAGGAGAGUAAAGUAACCCCUGACCUCUGACCCCAAAUGUGGGCGAGGAGCAACCAUCCGACGGCUUAGACACACCUGCACCUGAGGAUUCUGAUGACCAAAUGGUUAACACACUGUAAGCAGGUUUAAGUAUUUGAGAAAAUGAUCAAGAUAGAGUUACCUUUAUCCCUUGACACACUUAGACGGAGCAUUAACCUAAAAUAUGCCAUAAUUUAGCCAAAAUAAUAGCCGUUGACAGAAUAUGUAAAAUGUUUUCCGAUUUUCACAGAUAAAAAAAUAAGGUGUCUGGUCUAUUGUGUUUCCAUACUUUAAAGACAUUCUCACAGUAAGAGAUGACAAUAGGAACUAAAACUGAAGAAAAGGGUAGAAAACAGUUUUAGCUGCCCUCUGAGGAUUUGGAGAGAGAAAAAGAGAUUUCAAAUGUAGUUCAGUGGAAUAAUUCAUGGGAUAUUGUUCAUAAGGUUGAGUGACCAGAUCACAAGACCACAGCGUCUGAUGUCUUUUUUUAGAGCAGAAUAAAAAGAAAAAAGCCCAGAAGAAUCCACAACACAUGCUUGUCAAGAGUGAAAGAGUUCUUGGCAUGGUUCUUGUGCUAUCAAUGUUACAUUAAAAAUACCAAAUAUUACAAU
This is a long non-coding RNA of Cyprinus carpio (common carp), 761 nucleotides long. RefSeq lists it as uncharacterized. The record is from RefSeq and is a predicted model, not a curated record. NCBI's taxonomy places the organism in Eukaryota, Metazoa, Chordata, Actinopteri, Cypriniformes, Cyprinidae. The transcript has 2 exons.